GAAGGGGGCGAGCGUUGUUCGGAUUUACUGGGCGUAAAGGGCGCGCAGGCGGCUAUUUUUGUCAGGCGUGAAAGCCCCGGGCUUAACCUGGGAACUGCGCUUGAAACGGGAUGGCUAGAGAUCGGGAGAGGAGAGUGGAAUUCCCAGUGUAGAGGUGAAAUUCGUAGAUAUUGGGAAGAACACCGGUGGCGAAGGCGGCUCUCUGGACCGAUACUGACGCUGAGGCGCGAAAGCGUGGGGAGCAAACAGGAUUAGAUACCCUGGUAGUCCACGCUGUAAACGAUGUGUGCUAGACGUUGGGGAGCCUAGCUCUUCGGUGUCGCAGCUAACGCGGUAAGCACACCGCCUGGGGAGUACGGCCGCAAGGUUA
RNAcentral lists this ribosomal RNA (370 nucleotides) under uncultured bacterium. RNAcentral describes it as "bacterial SSU rRNA". It matches the Rfam family "Bacterial small subunit ribosomal RNA", at positions 527 to 896 of the family's 1533-position model. The record is from RNAcentral.